GACGAACGCUGGCGGCGCGCCUAACACAUGCAAGUCGAACGAGCGAGAGAGAGCUUGCUUUCUUGAGCGAGUGGCGAACGGGUGAGUAACGCGUGAGGAACCUGCCUCAAAGAGGGGGACAACAGUUGGAAAUGACUGCUAAUACCGCAUAAGCCCACGGCUCGGCAUCGAGCAGAGGGAAAAGGAGCAAUCCGCUUUGAGAUGGCCUCGCGUCCGAUUAGCUAGUUGGUGAGGUAACGGCCCACCAAGGCGACGAUCGGUAGCCGGACUGAGAGGUUGAACGGCCACAUUGGGACUGAGACACGGCCCAGACUCCUACGGGAGGCAGCAGUGGGGAAUAUUGCACAAUGGGGGAAACCCUGAUGCAGCGACGCCGCGUGGAGGAAGAAGGUCUUCGGAUUGUAAACUCCUGCUGUUGAGGAAGAUAAUGACGGUACUCAACAAGGAAGUGACGGCUAACUACGUGCCAGCAGCCGCGGUAAAACGUAGGUCACAAGCGUUGUCCGGAAUUACUGGGUGUAAAGGGAGCGCAGGCGGGAAGACAAGUUGGAAGUGAAAUCCAUGGGCUCAACCCAUGAACUGCUUUCAAAACUGUUUUUCUUGAGUAGUGCAGAGGUAGGCGGAAUUCCCGGUGUAGCGGUGGAAUGCGUAGAUAUCGGGAGGAACACCAGUGGCGAAGGCGGCCUACUGGGCACCAACUGACGCUGAGGCUCGAAAGUGUGGGUAGCAAACAGGAUUAGAUACCCUGGUAGUCCACACUGUAAACGAUGAUUACUAGGUGUUGGAGGAUUGACCCCUUCAGUGCCGCAGUUAACACAAUAAGUAAUCCACCUGGGGAGUACGACCGCAAGGUUGAAACUCAAAGGAAUUGACGGGGGCCCGCACAAGCAGUGGAGUAUGUGGUUUAAUUCGACGCAACGCGAAGAACCUUACCAAGUCUUGACAUCCUGCGACGCACAUAGAAAUAUGUGUUUCCUUCGGGACGCAGAGACAGGUGGUGCAUGGUUGUCGUCAGCUCGUGUCGUGAGAUGUUGGGUUAAGUCCCGCAACGAGCGCAACCCUUAUGGUCAGUUACUACGCAAGAGGACUCUGGCCAGACUGCCGUUGACAAAACGGAGGAAGGUGGGGAGGACGUCAAAUCAUCAUGCCCUCUAUGACUUGGGCUACACACGUACUACAAUGGCGUUAAACAAAGAGAAGCAAGACCGCGAGGUGGAGCAAAACUCAGAAACAACGUCCCAGUUCGGACUGCAGGCUGCAACUCGCCUGCACGAAGUCGGAAUUGCUAGUAAUCGCAGAUCAGCAUGCUGCGGUGAAUACGUUCCCGGGCCUUGCACU
This 1338-nucleotide ribosomal RNA is filed under the name uncultured bacterium. RNAcentral's name for it is "bacterial SSU rRNA". It matches the Rfam family "Bacterial small subunit ribosomal RNA", at positions 28 to 1387 of the family's 1533-position model. The record is from RNAcentral.